AUUGAACGCUGGCGGAAUGCUUUACACAUGCAAGUCGAGCGGCAGCGCGGGGCAACCUGGCGGCGAGCGGCGAACGGGUGAGUAACACAUCGGAACGUGCCCAGACGUGGGGGAUAGCCCGGCGAAAGCCGGAUUAAUACCGCAUACGAUCUGAGGAUGAAAGCGGGGGAUCGCAAGACCUCGCGCGUUUGGAGCGGCCGAUGGCAGAUUAGGUAGUUGGUGGGGUAAAGGCUUACCAAGCCUGCGAUCUGUAGCUGGUCUGAGAGGAUGAUCAGCCACACUGGGACUGAGACACGGCCCAGACUCCUACGGGAGGCAGCAGUGAGGAAUUUUGCGCAAUGGAGGCAACUCUGACGCAGCCACGCCGCGUGCAGGAGGACGCCCCUACGGGGUGUAAACUGCUUUUCUGCGAGAAGAAGGCCUUGCUUUGGGCAGGGUGUGACGGUAUCGCAGGAAUAAGCACCGGCUAACUCCGUGCC
RNAcentral lists this ribosomal RNA (479 nucleotides) under uncultured bacterium. RNAcentral describes it as "bacterial SSU rRNA". It matches the Rfam family "Bacterial small subunit ribosomal RNA", at positions 28 to 509 of the family's 1533-position model. The record is from RNAcentral.